This is a long non-coding RNA of Xyrauchen texanus (razorback sucker), 458 nucleotides long. RefSeq lists it as uncharacterized. The transcript is spliced from 3 exons. Lineage: Eukaryota; Metazoa; Chordata; Actinopteri; Cypriniformes; Catostomidae. The record is from RefSeq and is a predicted model, not a curated record.
UAAAAUUCCAGUGUGACGCACCAAGCUUGUCACGUGAUACUCUGGGCAGUCACAUGACGGUUCACCGCUGUCUUGUCGCGCUUGGAGCUGGUGGACAGAGUAUAGGUAAGCGUUUCGCUUUUUUUCUUCACUUUAAACCCUUCCUCGUUGUUUUAAAACAUGUAUAAACUAUAAUAAAUGUUUUAACCAAUGGUUUAUAUUGACAUUUAUUUAUUUAUUUUCUCGGACUUUGAAUUUCACUCCCACGUGCAACUUUUCUGACAACGCAUUACAUGAUUGCUACUGUUCUCAGUAAUGCUUCAGUUCGUGGUACUCAAAACAUGGGCUAACGCAAAUGGGAGUGUUGCACAGCUCUCAUGUACUUUAUAUCAGUAAUGCUUCAGUGUGUGGUACUCCUCAAAACAUGGGGCAACACACAAGGGAGUGUUGCAUGGCACACACAUAAAUUUGGUGAGGCG